UCGAAGAAUUGACGGGCGCACAACGGUGGAACUGUGUUAAUUCGUGCAACGAGACCUACCUGGUCUUGACACCUUGGCGCUUCAAAGGUAAGGUUGUUUCCUCGGAGGCCAGGUGACAGGUGCUACAUGGUCGUCGUCAGCUCGUGUCGUGAGAUGUUGGUUAAGUCCCGCAACGCUGCAACCCUACCCUUAAUUGCCAUCGGGUUAUGCCGGCACUUUAGGGGACUGCCGGUGACAAGCCGGAGGAGGGUGGGGAUGACGUCAAGUCCUCAUGGCCUUUAUGACCAGGGCUACACACGUGUUACAAUGGGAGUUACAGAGGGAAGCUAAACCGCGAGGUCAUGCCAAUCCCAGAAAAACUUUCUCAGUUCGGAUCGCAGUCUGCAACUCGACUGCGUGAAGCUGGAAUCGCUAGUAAUCGCGGAUCAGCACGCCGCGGUGAAUACGUUCCCGGGCC
RNAcentral lists this ribosomal RNA (457 nucleotides) under uncultured delta proteobacterium. Its description in RNAcentral is "bacterial SSU rRNA". It matches the Rfam family "Bacterial small subunit ribosomal RNA", at positions 905 to 1380 of the family's 1533-position model. Lineage: Bacteria; Deltaproteobacteria. The record is from RNAcentral.